RNAcentral lists this ribosomal RNA (393 nucleotides) under uncultured bacterium. Its description in RNAcentral is "partial 16S ribosomal RNA". It matches the Rfam family "Bacterial small subunit ribosomal RNA", at positions 523 to 918 of the family's 1533-position model. The record is from RNAcentral.
AUACGGAGGAUGCGAGCGUUAUCCGGAUUUAUUGGGUUUAAAGGGAGCGUAGGUGGGAUAUUAAGUCAGCUGUGAAAGUUUGGGGCUCAACCUUAAAAUUGCAGUUGAUACUGGUUUCCUUGAGUACGGUACAGGUGGGCGGAAUUCGUGGUGUAGCGGUGGAAUGCUUAGAUAUCACGAAGAACUCCGAUCGCGAAGGCAGCUCACCGGGCCGGAACUGACACUGAUGCUCGAAAGUGCGGGUAUCAAACAGGAUUAGAUACCCUGGUAGUCCGCACAGUAAACGAUGAAUACUCGCUGUUUGCGAUACACUGUAAGCGGCCAAGCGAAAGCGUUAAGUAUUCCACCUGGGGAGUACGCCGGCAACGGUGAAACUCAAAUGAAUUGACGGGG